This 327-nucleotide ribosomal RNA is filed under the name uncultured eukaryote. RNAcentral describes it as "partial 18S ribosomal RNA". It matches the Rfam family "Eukaryotic small subunit ribosomal RNA", at positions 1470 to 1796 of the family's 1831-position model. The record is from RNAcentral.
CCCUUAGAUGUUCUGGGCCGCACGCGCGCUACACUGAUUCAUGCAACAAGUUUUGUCCUUGGCUGAUAGGCCUGGGUAAUCUUUGAACGUGAAUCGUGAUGGGGAUAGAUGAUUGCAAUUAUUCAUCUUCAACGAGGAAUUCCUAGUAAACGCAAGUCAUCAGCUUGCGUUGAUUACGUCCCUGCCCUUUGUACACACCGCCCGUCGCACCUACCGAUUGAAUGGUCCGGUGAAAUCUUCGGAUCUGAGAGAUGUCUGAUUAAUUUCGGACGCCUUUUGGAAAAGUUGUUUAAACCUUACCAUUUAGAGGAAGGUGAAGUCGUAACA